GGAGGUAUAGCGCAAGUGGUAGAGUGCAUGCUUAGCAUGCACAAGGUCCUGGGUUCAAUCCCCAGUAUCUCCU
This is a transfer RNA of Camelus ferus (Wild Bactrian camel), 73 nucleotides long. It matches the Rfam family "tRNA". From Rfam's summary of the family: Transfer RNA (tRNA) molecules are approximately 80 nucleotides in length. Their secondary structure includes four short double-helical elements and three loops (D, anti-codon, and T loops). Lineage: Eukaryota; Metazoa; Chordata; Mammalia; Artiodactyla; Camelidae. The record is from Rfam.